RNAcentral lists this ribosomal RNA (589 nucleotides) under Zoarces andriashevi. RNAcentral's name for it is "partial 16S ribosomal RNA". It matches the Rfam family "Bacterial large subunit ribosomal RNA", at positions 1811 to 2607 of the family's 2925-position model. The record is from RNAcentral. Lineage: Eukaryota; Metazoa; Chordata; Actinopteri; Perciformes; Zoarcidae.
AAACAUCGCCUCUUGUAAACUUAACAGAUAAGAGGUCCCGCCUGCCCUGUGACUAUUAGUUUAACGGCCGCGGUAUUUUGACCGUGCGAAGGUAGCGCAAUCACUUGUCUUUUAAAUGAAGACCUGUAUGAAUGGCAUAACGAGGGCUUAACUGUCUCCUCUCUCCAGUCAAUGAAAUUGAUCUUCCCGUGCAGAAGCGGGAAUAUAAACAUAAGACGAGAAGACCCUAUGAAGCUUUAGACACCAAGACAGAUCAUGUUAAUAACCCUAAAUAAAGGCUUAAACCAAAUGGAACCUGCCCUAAUGUCUUUGGUUGGGGCGACCGCGGGGCAUUGAAAAACCCCCACGUGGAGUGGGAGCACCCCUCCUACAACCAAGAGCCACAGCUCUAAUAAACAGAAAUUCUGACCAGCAAGAUCCGGCAAUGCCGAUCAACGGACCGAGUUACUCUAGGGAUAACAGCGCAAUCCUCUUUUAGAGCCCAUAUCGACAAGGGGGUUUACGACCUCGAUGUUGGAUCAGGACAUCCUAAUGGUGCAGCCGCUAUUAAGGGUUCGUUUGUUCAACGAUUAAAGUCCUACGUGAUCUG